GUGUACCUACGGGGGGCAGCAGUGGGGAAUAUUGCGCAAUGGGCGAAAGCCUGACGCAGCGACGCCGCGUGAGGGAUGAAGGUCUUCGGAUCGUAAACCUCUGUCAGCAGGGAAGAACGGUCACUGUGCUAAUCAGCAGUGAAUUGCCGGUACCUGCAAAGGAAGCACCGGCUAACUCCGUGCCAGCAGCCGCGGUAAUACGGAUGGUGCGAGCGUUAAUCGGAAUUGCUGGGCGUAAAGCGCUAGUAGGC
RNAcentral lists this ribosomal RNA (251 nucleotides) under uncultured bacterium. Its description in RNAcentral is "partial 16S ribosomal RNA". It matches the Rfam family "Bacterial small subunit ribosomal RNA", at positions 333 to 576 of the family's 1533-position model. The record is from RNAcentral.